Molecule: ribosomal RNA, 349 nt
Filed under: uncultured Enterobacter sp.
Lineage: Bacteria; Pseudomonadati; Pseudomonadota; Gammaproteobacteria; Enterobacterales; Enterobacteriaceae
Description: bacterial SSU rRNA
Rfam family: Bacterial small subunit ribosomal RNA
Source: RNAcentral
CAUGCAAGUCGAGCGGUAGCACAGAGAGCUUGCUCUCGGGUGACGAGCGGCGGACGGGUGAGUAAUGUCUGGGAAACUGCCUGAUGGAGGGGGAUAACUACUGGAAACGGUAGCUAAUACCGCAUAACGUCGCAAGACCAAAGAGGGGGACCUUCGGGCCUCUUGCCAUCAGAUGUGCCCAGAUGGGAUUAGCUAGUAGGUGGGGUAACGGCUCACCUAGGCGACGAUCCCUAGCUGGUCUGAGAGGAUGACCAGCCACACUGGAACUGAGACACGGUCCAGACUCCUACGGGAGGCAGCAGUGGGGAAUAUUGCACAAUGGGCGCAAGCCUGAUGCAGCCAUGCCGCG